RNAcentral lists this long non-coding RNA (911 nucleotides) under Helicoverpa zea (corn earworm). RNAcentral's name for it is "uncharacterized LOC124629984, transcript variant X1". Lineage: Eukaryota; Metazoa; Arthropoda; Insecta; Lepidoptera; Noctuidae. The record is from RNAcentral.
UAGAAAAUUAUAUAGUCAACAUAGUUCUAGCUAGGUCAAUCAGUAGUAGUAGUCCCCUGUUGGUUUUGGUUACCUUGAGAGUUUUUUUCAAUUCGAUACCUUCACUAAUUCUCUGCUCUCGUGUGCGUGACAGGCGGACAGUUUUUUACUUUGAGGAAAACUUAUAAAAAAAAACGGAUGUUAGCUAAAACACGUAACCAGUAAAUUAAAGGCCAACAAGUAAGAUGUUUUUUGCACCUGCAGGUGCGUGGUGGGCACGGCGUCGGGCGGGCUCUUCCUGGCGAGGCCUUCGCGCAGCCUCGUCUCGCGCACCAGCUCGGGCGUGGCCAGGCGCCGCAUCGGCUGUAUCGACGCCAUGCGCAGAUGAAUUUAUUUACUCUUGGCAUCGAGACGUCAAGCUCGAUGGGUUUUUCCACCUCUGGCCGAUCGGGCAUUACGAAAUGGUGUCCGAGCAGUGGCUCAUCAGGCGGCGCGCCAUACGUUAGCUUCAGUUCUUCCUUGGUGAUGUCGCUUAACAGGUCUAUCACCUUCUGACCAGGCACGUAGCGUGACACCACACCACCAUUUAAUACCUGUUAAGAUGGCCUUGAAUUAAGAACACGUUUUAAUGAUAUUUAGGAAAUGCCUGUCAACUAUUCAGAACUUAUAAGAGCAUACCUUGAAGGUGGUAGAGCUAGCAAUUUUUUUCACAUCAGGUGGAAAACGUGUAACUUCCAACGUCCACGGCACGAAGCUGCCGAGCGUCUGCAGGUACUCACCAGAGAUACGCCACAAGCGCACACUGUAGUCUGAACUGCCGCUGAAAAUUGACAUCAUCUAUCGAUACUGGUUACCGUCUUUACUAUAUUUAAGUAUGCUAUUGUAUUUUCUAUGGGCCUUAGAUGCCUGAUGCAAAUAAAUAAAUAAAUAAA